RNAcentral lists this ribosomal RNA (774 nucleotides) under uncultured Neocallimastigales. RNAcentral describes it as "partial large subunit ribosomal RNA". It matches the Rfam family "Eukaryotic large subunit ribosomal RNA", at positions 19 to 646 of the family's 3401-position model. The record is from RNAcentral. Lineage: Eukaryota; Fungi; Neocallimastigomycota; Neocallimastigomycetes; Neocallimastigales.
CGAGCACGCGCGUGUGGCAUAUCAAUAAGCGGAGGAAAAGAAACUAACAAGGAUUCCCUUAGUAACGGCGAGUGAAGCGGGAAGAGCUCAAAUUUGAAAUCUUCAAGGUUCUACCUUGACGAAUUGUAGUUUAUAGAAGUGUUUUCUGUCAGUGGAGUGGCAAAAGUUCUUUGGAAUAGGACAUCAUAGAGGGUGAGAAUCCCGUAUUUGGUCAUUCCUCCUAGCGUUGUGAUACACUUUCAACGAGUCGGAUUGUUUGGGAAUGCAGUCCAAAAUGGGUGGUAAAUUUCAUCUAAAGCUAAAUAUUGGCGAGAGACCGAUAGCGAACAAGUACCGUGAGGGAAAGAUGAAAAGAACUUUGAAAAGAGAGUUAAACAGUACGUGAAAUUGUCAAAAGGGAAGCGUUUGACACCAGUGUUGUUUUUCCGAAAAUCAAUUACGAAUGUUUUGUUUUUGAGAAGUUAUGACUUCAUCGGCUUGCUCCUUUCUUUAUGAAACUUUCUUAAUGCACUUUUCGGUUAACAAGUCAACAUCAAUUUCUUUUGUUGUAAAAGGGUAUGAGGAAGGUGGCUUUCUUUUCGGAGAAAGUGUUUAUAGCCUUGUGCCUCUACAAUCGGAGAGAUUGAGGUCUGCAGCGUAGAUCCUUCGGGGUUAGAUACGUUUGUGCUAAGUUAUAGCUUUUCAUAGACAACUUGUUGACUAUGUUUAGUCUUGUAGCUUACUCGCUGACGCUAUUUUACCUACGCUUAGGAUGUUGAUGUGAUACUGCGAGCA